RNAcentral lists this ribosomal RNA (393 nucleotides) under uncultured bacterium. RNAcentral describes it as "partial 16S ribosomal RNA". It matches the Rfam family "Bacterial small subunit ribosomal RNA", at positions 523 to 918 of the family's 1533-position model. The record is from RNAcentral.
AUACGGAGGAUCCGAGCGUUAUCCGGAUUUAUUGGGUUUAAAGGGAGCGUAGGCGGACGCUUAAGUCAGUUGUGAAAGUUUGCGGCUCAACCGUAAAAUUGCAGUUGAUACUGGGCGUCUUGAGUACAGUAGAGGCAGGCGGAAUUCGUGGUGUAGCGGUGAAAUGCUUAGAUAUCACGAAGAACUCCGAUUGCGAAGGCAGCCUGCUGGACUGUAACUGACGCUGAUGCUCGAAAGUGUGGGUAUCAAACAGGAUUAGAUACCCUGGUAGUCCACACAGUAAACGAUGAAUACUCGCUGUUUGCGAUAUACAGUAAGCGGCCAAGCGAAAGCGUUAAGUAUUCCACCUGGGGAGUACGCCGGCAACGGUGAAACUCAAAGGAAUUGACGGGG